Alligator mississippiensis (American alligator) is the source of this 1601-nucleotide long non-coding RNA. RefSeq lists it as uncharacterized. Lineage: Eukaryota; Metazoa; Chordata; Crocodylia; Alligatoridae. The record is from RefSeq and is a predicted model, not a curated record. The transcript has 2 exons.
UAUCAAUAGAGGAUGGGUGAUAGCCAUGCUACUUGGGAUCUCUGUUCUUACAGAAUCACAGAAAAUGAUGGCUGGACUGGACCUCAGGAGGUCACAUCUCGUCCAACCCCGUGUUCCAGCUUUCCUUACCCACGCUGUGAGACUCAAGUUCGACACUACUGAAUGCAAAUGAGUGCCCUCACUACUGUAGGUGUGCCUACAGGACAUAUGCUGAAGUUAUUUACCUGAGCCAAGAAGAAGAAAUGAGAACUAGGCAGCAUGUUUGUGCAUAUGAAGCAGUCAAGGAAAACUAAGGCAGGAGCUAUCAACUAUGAAUAUGAGCUGGCAGUGCGAUGCUGUAGCCAGUAGGGCAAAUAAUACUCUGGCAUGGAUUAAUUGAUGCAUCUCCAGCAAAACCAAAGAGCAGAUUCUUCUGCUGUACUCAGCAGAACUGCAGCUGGAGUACUGCAUCCAGUUCUGGGCACCAUACUUUUAACAAGGACAUGAACAAACUUGAGAGAGUCCAAAGAAGAGCCACCCGUAUGAUCAAAGUCUUAAAAGGCAAGCCAUACAAGAAAAGACUGAGGGAUCUGGGACUUCUCAGCCUGAGGAAAAGAAGGCUGAGAGGGGAUUUGGUAGCAGCUUACUGCUACACUAGGGGAGUACAUCAAGGGCUUGGUGAGCAACUGUUCACCAGGACACCAGAAGGGAAAACCAGAGUAAUGGCCAUGAACUCCUGGAAGAUUGAUUCAGGCUUAACAUUAGGAAAAACUUCUUCACAGCCAGUGUGUCCAGACUGUGGAAUAAGCUCCCUCUAGAAAUGGUGCAGUAACCUACCUGGGAAAUCUUCAAGAGGAGACUAGACAGUCACCUUGCUGGAGUCACCUGAUCCCCAGUUAUCUUUCCUGCUUGGUGCAGUGGGCUGGACCUGAUGAUCUUCCAAGGUCCCUUCCAGCCAUACAAUCUAUGAAUCUAUGAACCAAGACAAGAAUUGUCCAGCUGUUCAGAUACCAUGAGGCCAGACCUGGUAUAAGAAACAGCUCUCCUGAUCCUAGAAGACUUGCACUGCAGCUUAACUUGCAGCAUGAAAGUAAAUUCCAUUUAAAAGUCACUGGGCCUGCACAUUUGUGUGCAGUUAAGCAUGUGUUUGAAUUGUUUUAUGCAUUUAAACUACAGUGAUUUCCUCCUCCUCACAUCAUUUAAGGUAGGGAUAGCCUUUGAUAGCUCACCUCUUCACUGCUGUGUUCCUACUGGCUUUCCCCCACAAUGAAUGCACAUUCCUACUCCCUUGGCAAACCAACCACCACAAUAGGAGGACUAAAGAGGUCUGACCAACAAUAAGCUAAAGGCAGGAAAGGGAGCGAGCCAUGCAGUGACAUCUCCCUGAUACUACUCUGUCAGAGCAGCAUUUAAAUAGAAUGGCUUAUGCUGCCUUUUUAGCUAUUUUCAAUCAUCUGCUUUUUUUCUUUUCUACUUUUGUGCUUUCUUUUCUCUUACAUAAGAGGCAGUCAAUCCCAGUUUCCCUCUAGAUUCCAGGAGCAAACAAUAAAAUCAAAAUUGAACCUGGGCACAGGAAAUGAAAAUAUUUGUAGCAGUACACAAUAAAAUCAGGUAAUCAUUUA